ACGGAAGGCAGCAGUGGGGAAUAUUGCAUAAUGGGCGCAAGCCUGAUGCAGCGAUGCCGCGUGAGGGAAGAAGGUUUUCGGAUUGUAAACCUCUGUCAUCGGGGACGAUAAUGACUGUACCCGAGAAGGAAGCUCCGGCUAACUACGUGCCAGCAGCCGCGGUAAUACGUAGGGAGCGAGCGUUAUCCGGAAUUACUGGGUGUAAAGGGAGUGUAGGCGGGGCUGUAAGUCAGAUGUGAAAUAUGCCGGCUCAACUGGCAUACUGCAUUUGUAACUGCGGUUCUUGAGUGAAGUAGAGGUAAGCGGAAUUCCUAGUGUAGCGGCGAAAUGCGUAGAUAUUAGGAGGAACACCAGUGGCGAAGGCGGCUUGCUGGGCUUUAACUGACGCUGAGGCUCGAAAGCGUGGGUAGCAAACAGGAUUAGAUACCCUGGUA
Molecule: ribosomal RNA, 434 nt
Filed under: uncultured Ruminococcus sp.
Lineage: Bacteria; Bacillati; Bacillota; Clostridia; Eubacteriales; Oscillospiraceae
Description: partial 16S ribosomal RNA
Rfam family: Bacterial small subunit ribosomal RNA
Source: RNAcentral